CACUAUUGCAGAUGGAGCUAAUUUCAAAAGUAAGAAGCCCAUUUAUUGUGGAUUAUAAAGAUUCCUGGGUUGAAAAGGAGCAGAGUGAAGAGCUUGCGCAUACUUUUGUGGACUAGAUUGACUCUGAGAAUAGCUGCCUAGGCUAUAUGGUUUCAGGGUCUAAAGCUAAUAGUGCUUCAAUUCAUCAAAGUGCUGCUAUAAAUAGCAGUAGAGUUGUCCAUGCCCAAGAGUUUGAUGUUUCAGUAACAAUGUUGAAUAUUGCAAUCAUUCUCUACCAUAUCCAUGAGUAUGCACAUUCAUUAUCUGUUCUCAAAAAGCUGUUCC
Molecule: long non-coding RNA, 324 nt
Organism: Zingiber officinale
Lineage: Eukaryota; Viridiplantae; Streptophyta; Magnoliopsida; Zingiberales; Zingiberaceae
Exons: 3
Source: RefSeq, a predicted model, not a curated record